UACGAAGGGGGCUAGCGUUGUUCGGAAUUACUGGGCGUAAAGCGCGCGCAGGCGGUCUUCCAAGUCAGUGGUGAAAGCCUGGAGCUCAACUCCAGAACUGCCAUUGAAACUGUUAGACUUGAGUACGAGAGAGGUGAGUGGAAUUCCCCAGUGUAGAGGUGAAAUUCGUAGAUAUUGGGAAGAACACCAGUGGCGAAGGCGGCUCACUGGCUCGUAACUGACGCUCAGGCGCGACAGCGUGGGGAUCAAACAGG
RNAcentral lists this ribosomal RNA (254 nucleotides) under uncultured bacterium. RNAcentral's name for it is "partial 16S ribosomal RNA". It matches the Rfam family "Bacterial small subunit ribosomal RNA", at positions 524 to 776 of the family's 1533-position model. The record is from RNAcentral.